GGCCCGUUGGUCAAGCGGUUAAGACACCGCCCUUUCACGGCGGUAUCCCGGAUUCCCGGACGGGUCACCA
RNAcentral lists this transfer RNA (70 nucleotides) under Veillonella sp. RNAcentral's name for it is "tRNA-Glu". It matches the Rfam family "tRNA". From Rfam's summary of the family: Transfer RNA (tRNA) molecules are approximately 80 nucleotides in length. Their secondary structure includes four short double-helical elements and three loops (D, anti-codon, and T loops). Further hydrogen bonds mediate the characteristic L-shaped molecular structure. tRNAs have two regions of fundamental functional importance: the anti-codon, which is responsible for specific mRNA codon recognition, and the 3' end, to which the tRNAs corresponding amino acid is attached (by aminoacyl-tRNA synthetases). tRNAs cope with the degeneracy of the genetic code in two manners: having more than one tRNA (with a specific anti-codon) for a particular amino acid; and 'wobble' base-pairing, i.e. permitting non-standard base-pairing at the 3rd anti-codon position. Lineage: Bacteria; Bacillati; Bacillota; Negativicutes; Veillonellales; Veillonellaceae. The record is from RNAcentral.